UGCUCCUUUCCAGGUAGCUGUACUCCAGGUGGAGGGUUCAUUCUCUCCUAUCCUAGAAUCCUUGGUCUGAUCACCUGGUACAGACUCAUCCAUAUUUACUUGUACACCUACCUCCUUUCUUUGCACAUCUACUUCUAUCUCUCUCUUGUUUUCUGAUUCUCGCUUUAUUCCUACGCGAUUAUCAGCAAAAGAUCCCUCAGAUGGAUCUGAUUCAAUCUGUGGACUAACACCACUCAUCUUAGCUAUCCUGAAGAACACCACAAGAAACAAACAUUAGCACACAU
RNAcentral lists this long non-coding RNA (284 nucleotides) under Manihot esculenta (cassava). RNAcentral's name for it is "long non-coding RNA (MESC_LNC009337)". The record is from RNAcentral. Lineage: Eukaryota; Viridiplantae; Streptophyta; Magnoliopsida; Malpighiales; Euphorbiaceae.